AUGAUGCAUAGCCGAGUUGAGAGACUGAUCGGCCACAUUGGGACUGAGACACGGCCCAAACUCCUACGGGUAGGGCAGCAGUAGGGAAUCUUCCACAAUGGACGCAAGUCUGAUGGAGCAACGCCGCGUGAGUGAAGAAGGUUUCGGCUCGCAAAGCUCUGUUGUUGGUGAAGAAGGACAGGGGUAGUAACUGACCUUUGUUUGACGGUAAUCAAUUAGAAAGUCACGGCUAACUACGUGCCAGCAGCCGCGGUAAAU
This 258-nucleotide ribosomal RNA is filed under the name uncultured Lactobacillus sp. Its description in RNAcentral is "partial 16S ribosomal RNA". It matches the Rfam family "Bacterial small subunit ribosomal RNA", at positions 276 to 525 of the family's 1533-position model. Lineage: Bacteria; Bacillati; Bacillota; Bacilli; Lactobacillales; Lactobacillaceae. The record is from RNAcentral.